This 48-nucleotide transfer RNA is filed under the name Plagiosiphon emarginatus. Its description in RNAcentral is "partial tRNA-Phe". Lineage: Eukaryota; Viridiplantae; Streptophyta; Magnoliopsida; Fabales; Fabaceae. The record is from RNAcentral.
UCGGGAUAGCUCAGCUGGUAGAGCAGAGGACUGAAAAUCCUCCGGGCC